Molecule: unclassified non-coding RNA, 209 nt
Filed under: Hevea brasiliensis (rubber tree)
Lineage: Eukaryota; Viridiplantae; Streptophyta; Magnoliopsida; Malpighiales; Euphorbiaceae
Source: RNAcentral
AAGUUGCUUUAUGCUUAUAACCAACUUUAGAAUUCCAAGCUCUUCCCUCCAUGCAACAAAAAUCACCAACAAGUCUUGGUCCCUUGUGCUAAUUGGAUUUCCUUUAUGCUUUUCUUUUCUCUAUAUAUCUUUGGAUUACCCAACCCUGAGCUUCUCCAUUCAAAGUUUCAAAACAAAAAAUCCAUUAAGCUUCUCCAUAUAUUUGCCAU